GUAAUCUUCAACCACAGGCAUUUUCUCCUGGGAUUCAGAGGGGAAAGCACACUUCCACGAAUGAUAUAUCAUCGAAGAGAUAUGUGAAAAACACCUUGAGGAUUGGUCCUAAACAACGUUUGCCAUGUUUCAGUCGAUAUUAUGGAGUUAAUUUGGAAAAAAGUUAGACGUUUUGAAGACUGAAUUUUCGGGUUUUUUUGGUAGCCAAACGUGACGUACCAAAUGGAGCAAUUUCUCCUAAACAAAUCAUCUUUCAGGAAAAACGGAGCAUUUGCUAUCUAACUGAGAGUCUCCUCAUUGAAAACAUCUGAAGUUCUUCAAAGAGACAUGUUAGUGUGUUGUUGGAGGGCGAGAGUCUCAAAAUUAAAAAAUGCAGCAGUAGUCAACUUCAUCAGUUCCCCUACUGCACAUAUAAGGCUGAACAAUAUAUGUUCAACAACCACAUCAAAUAUCAUGCUUCAGUGAGGCACAAAGAGUUCACAAUCAUAAAGUUGUAGAAAUGCGACACACUUUCAUUGUUGCUAUUGCACGGCAACAAUAAUGAACAGAGCACAGUUUCUGAAGCACCUGACAUACCAUCAGCAUCCAGUGGCCCCUCAAGAGCACCCAGAGGCCCUUAAUAAACAGUGGCCAGUGGCCCCUCAAGAGCACCCAGAGGCCCUUAAACAGUGGCCAGUGGCCCCUCAAGAGCACCCAGAGGCCCAUAAACAGUCUCCAGAGGCCCCUCAAAAGCUUCGCCCCUCAAGAUCUUGUCGCCUGGACCUUGGAGGACUUUUGGUGUGGAUGAUGAUCAGGGCCGACCAAAGCAAGGUUGCUGUGGGGUGUUUGUUUUGAUGUACGCUCUGUGCAUUGCAAUGAAAGCACAGUGUGACUUCAAUGAGGUCUGAAGAAGAGAGGUUGGAACAUCGAAAAAGGCGGCAAAAACAAAACACGCAGCAGUGUAUUUCAGGAUGAUGUAGAAGACGCCCCCAAGAUGUCACAGCACGUCACAUCAGCGUCCAGGUCUGCAGGAUCAGGAAGCAGAUGUUCUUCUAAGGGACACCCUAGAGACAGCAAGGUGAUGCGAACGCCCAACAUUUAAAGGCAUCGUUUCCCUCCCUAGUGUAAAUCAUAUGGAUGGGGAAGACCGCAUUACAACCCUUAAAAAACUAUGGUUGUAUGAUGGCCUGGAUGAAGAGGAAAAUAUUCUCCUCAAGUAAUCAUUCAUGUUUUCGUUUCAGUUAGAGAGAUUAUGAGAUGUUCUAUGUGGAGGCAGUUGACAACAAGAAAAUGAAUGUUUGCCUCUUUUGAGGAGCUGGAGUGAAGCCAUUUUUGAGGAGUGGUCAAACCUUGUUUUUGUCUGCUGUGUUAAUUGUUUCAAUUGUUAAUUGUGUUGUUUAGUAAAGAUGACUUAGAAGUCACCCGAGUCUCUGAUCUCUUCACUGGAGCUGGUAUAACUUAAUGUAAAGCACAUUCAGCUUGUCAGUAUGUCUAUAUGGUAUAGUCUGUCUCCAUUCUCAUGAAUUGCACUAUAAAUCAGGAUAGGUAGAAACUGUAUAUAUAUGCUCAAUUAAGUAAUGUAAUUACAAAGUCAUAACAUUUAUCAACACAAUUUUAACAGUACAUUACAUACAUAACAAGUCUGUUGUUCACUGCAACAAUAUCAAUAGCUUGUCUCAAAUAUAGCAUGAAGCAAAAAGUGUUACAACAUGUGCCGGUUCAGCUUUAUAUAAUAUUUCCCACAAUCUUCAAAAAUGAAAUACGUUUGUAUUCAACGUGUGCCUUGCACAAACAUGUGUGUUUGUAUUCAGUGUGUGACUCUCAAACCUCAGAUGGAC
Molecule: long non-coding RNA, 1817 nt
Organism: Oncorhynchus tshawytscha (Chinook salmon)
Lineage: Eukaryota; Metazoa; Chordata; Actinopteri; Salmoniformes; Salmonidae
Source: Ensembl